AUUGAACGCUGGCGGCAUGCUUUACACAUGCAGGUCGAGCGGCAGCGCGGGGGCAACCCUGGCGGCGAGCGGCGAACGGGUGAGUAAUGCAUCGGAACGUAUCCUCGAGUGGGGGAUAACCCAGCGAAAGUUGGGCUAAUACCGCAUGAGCUCUGAGGAGGAAAGCGGGGGACCUGCGAGGGCCUCGCGCUGGAGGAGCGGCCGAUGUCCGAUUAGCUAGUUGGUGGGGUAAAGGCUUACCAAGGCGACGAUCGGUAGCUGGUCUGAGAGGAUGAUCAGCCACACUGGGACUGAGACACGGCCCAGACUCCUACGGGAGGCAGCAGUGGGGAAUUUUGGACAAUGAGGGCAACCCUGAUCCAGCCAUGCCGCGUGAGUGAAGAAGGCCUUCGGGUUGUAAAGCUCUUUCGGACGGAACGAAAUGGGCGGGACUAAUACUCCUGUCUGAUGACGGUACCGUAAGAAGAAGCACCGGCUAACUACGUG
Molecule: ribosomal RNA, 486 nt
Filed under: uncultured bacterium
Lineage: Bacteria
Description: partial 16S ribosomal RNA
Rfam family: Bacterial small subunit ribosomal RNA
Source: RNAcentral